Molecule: ribosomal RNA, 477 nt
Filed under: uncultured bacterium
Lineage: Bacteria
Description: partial 16S ribosomal RNA
Rfam family: Bacterial small subunit ribosomal RNA
Source: RNAcentral
GAUGAACGCUGGCGGCGUGCCUAAUACAUGCAAGUCGAGCGAACGGACGAGAAGCUUGCUUCUCUGAUGUUAGCGGCGGACGGGUGAGUAACACGUGGAUAACCUACCUAUAAGACUGGGAUAACUUCGGGAAACCGGAGCUAAUACCGGAUAAUAUUUUGAACCGCAUGGUUCAAAAGUGAAAGACGGUCUUGCUGUCACUUAUAGAUGGAUCCGCGCUGCAUUAGCUAGUUGGUAAGGUAACGGCUUACCAAGGCAACGAUGGGUAGCCGACCUGAGAGGGGGACCGGGCACAUGGGGACUGAGGUACGGCCCAGACUCGUAUGGGAGGCAGCAGUGGGGAAUAUUACACAAUGGGCGGAAGCCUGAUGUAGCAACGCUGCGUGCGGGAUGACGGCCUUCGGGUGGUAAACCGAUUUCGCAUGUGAAGAAGCGUGAGUGACGGUAAUGGGUAAAGAAGCACCGGCUAACUACGUG